Molecule: ribosomal RNA, 489 nt
Filed under: uncultured bacterium
Lineage: Bacteria
Description: partial 16S ribosomal RNA
Rfam family: Bacterial small subunit ribosomal RNA
Source: RNAcentral
UUGAACGCUGGCGGCAGGCCUCACACAUGCAAGUCGCACGGUAACAGGAAGAAGCUUGCUUCUUUGCUGACGAGUGGCGGACGGGUGAGUAAUGUCUGGGAAACUGCCUGAUGGAGGGGGAUAACUACUGGAAACGGUAGCUAAUACCGCAUAACGUCGCAAGACCAAAGAGGGGGACCUUCGGGCCUCUUGCCAUCGGAUGUGCCCAGAUGGGAUUAGCUAGUAGGUGGGGUAACGGCUCACCUAGGCGACGAUCCCUAGCUGGCCUGAGAGGAUGACCAGCCACACUGGAACUGAGACACGGUCCAGGCUCCUACGGGAGGCAGCAGUGGGGAAUAUUGCACAAUGGGCGCAAGCCUGAUGCAGCCAUGCCGCGUGUAUGAAGAAGGCCUUCGGGUUGUAAAGUACUUUCAGCGGGGAGGAAGGGAGUAAAGUUAAUACCUUUACUCAUUGACGUUACCCGCAGAAGAAGCACCGGCUAACUCCGUG